This 433-nucleotide ribosomal RNA is filed under the name uncultured bacterium. RNAcentral describes it as "partial 16S ribosomal RNA". It matches the Rfam family "Bacterial small subunit ribosomal RNA", at positions 29 to 507 of the family's 1533-position model. The record is from RNAcentral.
AACGAACGCUGGCGGCAGGCCUAACACAUGCAAGUCGAGCGCGCCCUUCGGGGUGAGCGGCGGACGGGUGAGUAACGCGUGGGAACGUGCCCUUCUCUGCGGAAUAGCCUCGGGAAACUGAGAGUAAUACCGCAUACGCCCUUCGGGGGAAAGAUUUAUCGGAGAAGGAUCGGCCCGCGUUGGAUUAGGUAGUUGGUGGGGUAAUGGCCCACCAAGCCGACGAUCCAUAGCUGGUUUGAGAGGAUGAUCAGCCACACUGGGACUGAGACACGGCCCAGACUCCUACGGGAGGCAGCAGUGGGGAAUCUUAGAAAAUGGGGGCAACCCUGAUCGAGCCAUGCCGGGUGAGUGAUGAAGGCCUUAGGGUUGUAAAGCUCUUUCAGCUGGGAAGAUAAUGACGGUACCAGCAGAAGAAGCCCCGGCUAACUCCGUG